CGAGCGCAGGAAACCAGAUGACCCCUUCGGGGUGAUUCUGGUGGAAUGAGCGGCGGACGGGUGAGUAACACGUGGGCAACCUGCCUGUAAGACUGGGAUAACUUCGGGAAACCGGAGCUAAUACCGGAUAGUAUUUCCUUUCUCCUGAUUGGAAAUGGAAAGACGGUUUCGGCUGUCACUUACAGAUGGGCCCGCGGUGCAUUAGCUAGUUGGUGGGGUAAUGGCCCACCAAGGCGACGAUGCAUAGCCGACCUGAGAGGGUGAUCGGCCACACUGGGACUGAGACACGGCCCAGACUCCUACGGGAGGCAGCAGUAGGGAAUCUUCCGCAAUGGACGAAAGUCUGACGGAGCAACGCCGCGUGAGCGAUGAAGGCCUUCGGGUCGUAAAGCUCUGUUGUUAGGGAAGAACAAGUACGAGAGUAACUGCUCGUACCUUGACGGUACCUAACCAGAAAGCCCCGGCUAACUACGUGCCAGCAGCCGCGGUAAUACGUAGGGGGCAAGCGUUGUCCGGAAUUAUUGGGCGUAAAGGGCUCGUAGGCGGUUUCUUAAGUCUGAUGUGAAAGCCCACAGCUCAACUGUGGAGGGUCAUUGGAAACUGGGGAACUUGAGUGCAGAAGAGGAGAGUGGAAUUCCACGUGUAGCGGUGAAAUGCGUAGAUAUGUGGAGGAACACCAGUGGCGAAGGCGACUCUCUGGUCUGUAACUGACGCUGAGGAGCGAAAGCGUGGGGAGCAAACAGGAUUAGAUACCCUGGUAGUCCACGCCG
RNAcentral lists this ribosomal RNA (770 nucleotides) under Terribacillus sp. 10-71. RNAcentral's name for it is "bacterial SSU rRNA". It matches the Rfam family "Bacterial small subunit ribosomal RNA", at positions 48 to 802 of the family's 1533-position model. The record is from RNAcentral. Lineage: Bacteria; Bacillati; Bacillota; Bacilli; Caryophanales; Bacillaceae.